This 213-nucleotide unclassified non-coding RNA is filed under the name plant metagenome. RNAcentral describes it as "partial contains small subunit ribosomal RNA, internal transcribed spacer 1, and 5.8S ribosomal RNA". The record is from RNAcentral.
UCUCCGUAGGUGAACCUGCGGAGGGAUCACUACAGGCUUGCAAAAGCUCUGAAACCACUGUUUAUCUACCUGAAUCUGCUUCGGCGGGCGGCCCCAGGGCGGGUCCGUAGCCGCAAGGCGCCCGCCGAAGACCCCUAAACCCUGUCGUCUUGAGAAUCUCUGAGUAUCAUAUUAAACAGAAAACAACUUUCAACAACGGAUCUCUUGGCUCUG